Molecule: ribosomal RNA, 316 nt
Filed under: Podarcis peloponnesiacus (Peloponnese wall lizard)
Lineage: Eukaryota; Metazoa; Chordata; Lepidosauria; Squamata; Lacertidae
Description: partial large subunit ribosomal RNA
Rfam family: Bacterial large subunit ribosomal RNA
Source: RNAcentral
UACGGACUAGCCAAUGAAAUUGAUCCUUCAGUACAAAAGCUGAAAUUAACCCAUAAGACGAGAAGACCCUGUGGAGCUUCAAAACCAAAACCACCAAACAUUGCUUCCUUGGUUUUUUAGUUUGGGGCGACUUUGGAGCAAAAAAAACCCUCCAAAACAUAAAUCCAUUUAUUAAGACUAACACAUCAAAAAUAAUAUCAUAGACCCAGCAGUACCUAUUUACUGCCUGACCAAUGAACCAAGUUACCCCAGGGAUAACAGCGCCAUCCUCUUCUAGAGUCCCUAUCGACAAGAGGGUUUACGACCUCGAUGUUGG